This 607-nucleotide long non-coding RNA is filed under the name Felis catus (domestic cat). RNAcentral describes it as "lncRNA (ENSFCAG00000041633.2)". Lineage: Eukaryota; Metazoa; Chordata; Mammalia; Carnivora; Felidae. The record is from RNAcentral.
CAUCCCCUGAGCAUAGAAUGUUAUCCUCAUAGAAUAUUGGAAUAUUAGAAUUAGAAUAUUAGAAUAAUAGCUCACAGAAUAGCAUCCUGCUCUUGGAGGACUGCAUCAUGGAGCCUGGCAGAUAGUUUGGUGUGCUUAGCAUUUCAAAUUUAUAGAACUGAAAACGUUGAGAGGUGGUUGUGAUAUAAGCAGACUCUACUGUAGGGGUGAGCUAUGGGCAAGGCUGCUGUAGAGCUGACUUAUGAAGAUGAAGCAAACAUGGACAAAGAUGUGCCAAGUAUAAGCAUGAGCCAAUGCAUCACUGUCUUUCUUGAAGAAAAAUUUGUUGUUGGACAAUUAGGAUGUACUUGGAGGUAUCCUUGUUGCCAAGAUGCCAGAGAGGAUGUACUUGGGGCUGCUCUGUCUAGAGUGCUGCAAGAGAAGUCCUUCCCAUUCAGGGAUAUAUUCUCUAAAGCCACUGAUAAGAGCCAUAAAGUAACAGUUAUCAUCAGGAGAAAGUGUUGACUAGCAGAUGCAUGUGCCAACCCAACCAUGAAUGUGAUGUUCGAUUUGGAACAUUUCCAGUUGAAAAUCUUGGAAGUAAGAGGUAAGGCUCUUUAAAGCACGU